This 158-nucleotide ribosomal RNA is filed under the name uncultured bacterium. Its description in RNAcentral is "partial 16S ribosomal RNA". It matches the Rfam family "Bacterial small subunit ribosomal RNA", at positions 357 to 509 of the family's 1533-position model. The record is from RNAcentral.
UAGGAUCUCCACAUGGACGAAAGUCUGAUGGAGCAACGCCGCGUGAGUGAAGAAGGGUUUCGGCUCGUAAAGCUCUGUUGGUAGUGAAGAAAGAUAGAGGUAGUAACUGGCCUUUAUUUGACGGUAAUUACUUAGAAAGUCACGGCUAACUACGUGCC